This 351-nucleotide ribosomal RNA is filed under the name uncultured bacterium. RNAcentral describes it as "partial 16S ribosomal RNA". It matches the Rfam family "Bacterial small subunit ribosomal RNA", at positions 338 to 703 of the family's 1533-position model. The record is from RNAcentral.
CCUACGGGUGGCUGCAGUGGGGAAUAUUGGGCAAUGGGCGCAAGCCUGACCCAGCAAUGCCGCGUGAAGGAAGAAGGCUUUCGGGUUGUAAACUUCUUUUAUGAGGGACGAAACAAAUGACGGUACCUCAUGAAUAAGCCACGGCUAACUACGUGCCAGCAGCCGCGGUAAUACGUAGGUGGCAAGCGUUAUCCGGAUUUACUGGGUGUAAAGGGCGUGUAGGCGGGACUGCAAGGCAGAGGGGAAAAUUAGGGGCUCAACCCCUAACCUGCCUUUGAAACGGUAGUUCUUGAGUGAUGGAGAGGCAGGCGGACUUCCGUGUGUCGCGGUGAAAUGCGUAGAUAUCCGGAG